AUGGCUUCUGCGCUGCCGUGGAAGCCUCUCUUCUGGGAGCGCGUCGAGAAUUCUCGUGCCCUCGCCGCCGCCGCCCGCGGCGACCUCGCCGCCGCCGCCGCCGCCGCCGCCACCAUCCACCUCGCACUCGCAUCGCCUCUGCGCGCCGGUGACCUCGAUCGCGCCGUCUCGCUGAUUGGAGAGUCAGAGGACAAGCUUGCCGCGGCGGGCAAGCAGGUUGCCUUCCUGUUUUCCGGCCUUGGCACCGUCGAGCUCCUCGCGCGCCGACGGAUCCGCGGCGACGACUCUGUGGAGCAGCAGGCCCGACCGAGGGCGCGCGAGGCCAGGGCACGGGCCGGCGCCGCCUACGACGACGUGGCUCUCUCUCGCGGCCACCUGGGAGCCGCGGCACGUCUGGUUGCCUGCGGCGACCUCCCCGACAUCUACUUCCGCGCCGAGUUUCUCGCCGCCACAGAGCCGCGGCGGCGGCCUCGGAGCACCUCCACGGGGUGGACGACACCCUGCGCAUCCGCCGCGACCUCGCGCCUCCACUUCUUCCCCUGCACCGGAGCGUCCACCCCCACACGCGCUCGGCGGCGCACCCCAGCGCCAAGCGGGAGGAAGAACACGACAAGGCGUGGAAGGCCCUGGCAUGCUCCGCUCCAGCGUCCAGCCGCGCUGCUACACGGAUGCGCCGACCUCGGUAAGUGCGUCAACGCCGUGAUGUCCUCUGCCGUUUGGGAACUCCCGUAG
This 732-nucleotide ribosomal RNA is filed under the name Triticum aestivum (bread wheat). Its description in RNAcentral is "partial small subunit ribosomal RNA". Lineage: Eukaryota; Viridiplantae; Streptophyta; Magnoliopsida; Poales; Poaceae. The record is from RNAcentral.